ACGGAGCAGCCCUCUUCUUUAUUUGCCUAUACCUACACAUCGGCCGAGGAAUCUAUUACGGCUCCUACUCCUACAUAGAAACCUGAAACAUCGGCAUCAUCCUAUUAUUUCUAACAAUAGCCACAGCUUUCAUAGGCUACGUACUCCCUUGAGGCCAAAUAUCUUUCUGGGGAGCAACCGUCAUUACUAACCUCCUAUCAGCCAUCCCAUACAUUGGAACAGACCUUGUAGAAUGAAUCUGAGGGGGUUUCUCAGUAGAUAAAGCUACCCUCAACCGAUUCUUCGCAUUCCACUUCAUCCUACCAUUCAUCAUCGCCGCCAUAGCCAUAGUACACCUUCUCUUCCUUCAUGAAACCGGAUCCAACAACCCCCUGGGAAUCCCAUCAGACUGUGAUAAAAUCCCAUUCCACCCAUACUACACAACCAAAGACUUCCUAGGAAUCGUACUUCUCCUAGCCUUCUUCCUCACUCUAGUUUUAUUUUUUCCAGAUCUAUUAGGAGACCCAGACAAUUAUUCACCCGCAAAUCCCUUAAAUACUCCACCACAUAUUAAACCAGAAUGAUAUUUCCUUUUUGCAUACGCCAUUCUACGCUCAAUCCCUAAUAAACUAGGAGGAGUCAUCGCAUUAGUUCUCUCAAUCCUCAUUCUAGCCCUACUACCACAUAUUCAAACAGCCAGCCAACGAAGCCUGAUAUUCCGACCCAUCAGCCAAUUCCUAUUCUGAUUAUUAGUGUCCGAUGUCCUAAUCCUAACAUGAAUUGGAGGCCAACCAGUUGAACGACCAUUUAUCAUCAUCGGACAAAUCGCAUCCCUUUCAUACUUCACAAUUAUCCUAGCCCUCAUGCCAAUCGCAGGAAUCAUCGAAAACAAAAUAUUAAAAUGAAGAAGCUUUGAUAGUAUAAUAAUUACUCAGGUCUUGUAAACCUGAAAUGAGGAGCCCCUCCUCUCAAAGCAUCAAGGAGAAGAUUUUACAUCCUACCUCCAACUCCCAAAGCUGGAAUUCUACUUCAACUACUCCUUGUAUGUAAUUCGUGCAUUAUUUUAUUACCACAUUAAUAUCGUACAGUACAUUAAACUAACUAUCGUACAUAAUACAUUAAAUCUUAAUCUCACAAUUCAACCACAACAACAUGAAUAUCGUCACAGUAACUUAAAUUAAUGUUCGAAAGACUAGAUUUUCCAUGAUACGUGCAUAAACCAUCCUAUUAUGUCUAUCCUCGUCCAAAUGACUAUCCCCUUCCAUUGGUGGUCUCUUAAUCUACCAUCCUCCGUGAAACCAUCAACCCGCCCACUAGGACCUCUCUUCUCACUCCGGGCCCAUGACACUUGGGGGUAGCUAAUAUGAAACUAUACCUGACAUCUGGUUCUUACCUCAGGGCCAUAAGCUGUAAAACCGCCCACACGUUCCUCUUAAAUAAGACAUCUCGAUGGAUUAAUGUCUAAUCAGCCCAUGAUCAACAUAACUGUUCUGUCAUGCCUUUGGUAUUUUUUUAUUUUCGGGAUGCGAGGCUCAGCUGAGCCGUCAAAGGCUUGAUAUAGUCAAUUACAGUCAAGCUGGACUUCCUGUCUAAUAUUCAAGACCCCCAAAAGAUUAAGCUCUCGAGUAUUUUAUGAAUGCUUAUAAGACAUAAAAAAGAAUUAAUACUAACUUCCCACUCAACCCAUCACUUUACCUAGAAGUGAGCCAAAAACAGGAUUUUAGUAGACCUAUUAGGAGCAAUUAUUCUAAAUUAACACUUUAGUCCCUAUCACCUUAUCACACCUUUACACAACCAGCUCUUCAAAAUUAACUAACCAAAAACUUUGUCACAACAUACAUUCCCUAAAUCUACUAGUUUACGUAGCUUAAAUUAUAAAGCAAGGCACUGAAAAUGCCUAGAUGAAUCAUAAAGAUUCCAUAAGCAUAAAGGUUUGGUCCUAGCCUUAAUAUUAACUGUCAGCAAAAUUACACAUGCAAAUAUCCGUAAACCAGUGAGUUCAGCCCUAUGUUUUCUACAGACCACAAGGAGCAAGUAUAAAGCACGCGUACCCAAACACGCAGCUAAAAACACUAAGUCUAACCACACCCCCACGGGAUACAGCAGUGAUAAAAUUUAAGCAAUGAACGAAAGUUUGACUAAGUUAUGCUGACUCCAUUAGGGUCGGUAAAUUUCGUGCCAGCCACCGCGGUCAUACGAAAGACCCAAGUUAAUAUUCCAACGGCGUAAAGAGUGCUAAAAUCCUAAACAAAUAAACAAAUAGAGUUAAGACUUGACUCCGCUGUAAAAAGCCAAAGUCAAAGCAAAAAUAAACAACGAAGGUGACUCUAAUUUUUGCAGCACUAAAGCUAUAGCCUAAACUGGGAUUAGAUACCCCACUAUAUCUAGCCAUAAACAUAAAUAGUUCAUAACACUACUAUUCGCCAGAGAACUACAAGCCACCGCUUAAAACUCAAAGGACUUGGCGGUGCUUUAUAUCCAUCUAGAGGAGCCUGUUCCAUAAUCGAUGAUCCCCGAUCUACCUUACCACUCCUUGCUAAUUCAGCCUAUAUACCGCCAUCUUCAGCUGACCCUAAAAAGGAAACAAAGUAAGCUAAAAAAGUAAAUACUAAAGAAGUUAGGUCAAGGUGUAGCCCAUGGAGUGGAGCGAAAUGGGCUACAUUUUCUAAUCCUAGAACAUUACGAAACUCUAUGUGAAACCCAUAGAAUAAAGGAGGAUUUAGUAGUAAAUUAAAACUAGAGUGUUUAAUUGAAUCGAGCAAUGAAGCACGCACACACCGCCCGUCACCCUCCUCAAAACCUUAACAAUUAAAAGUCCAUAACGCCUAAUUAUAAAAGACUGAGAGGAGACAAGUCGUAACAAGGUAAGUGUACUGGAAAGUGCACUUGGAAGAAUCAAAAUAUAGCUUAAACAAAGCAUCUGACUUACACUCAGAAGAUUUCAAUCCUAAUGAAUAUUUUGAACUAUAUCUAGCCUAACAAACUACCAAAUUAACUAUAACAUACACAUAAAUCAAACCAUUUACCAAAAAUUAGUAUAGGUGAUAGAAAAUUUAACUUUAGCGCUAUAGAUAAAGUACCGUAAGGGAAUGAUGAAAGAAAAACCUAAGUAAACAAAAGCAAAGAUUAAACCUUCUACCUUUUGCAUAAUGAACUAACUAGAAAAACUCUGACAAAGAGAACUUUAGCCAGAAACCCCGAAAUCAAGCGAGCUACCCUAGAACAGCCUUUUACAGGGCCAACUCAUCUAUGUAGCAAAAUAGUGAGAAGAUUUUAAGGUAGAGGUGAAAAGCCUACCGAGCCUGAUGAUAGCUGGUUCCUCAGAUUAAGUAUUUG
Dipodomys spectabilis (banner-tailed kangaroo rat) is the source of this 3315-nucleotide long non-coding RNA. RefSeq lists it as uncharacterized. Lineage: Eukaryota; Metazoa; Chordata; Mammalia; Rodentia; Heteromyidae. The transcript has 3 exons. The record is from RefSeq and is a predicted model, not a curated record.